CCUAUUAAUAGGAUAGUAGCACUUGUCCUAUCAAAUUGUUCUUGAUGAUAGAGAUUCCGAAUCAAUGAUCGGAGCCGUUAAAGUUGAUCUAGAGUAUUUGAAAUAUCUAAAAACUAAAUUUUAUAAAUUUUAAAAAUUAUUUACGUGAUGAUCAAAGUAUCGUAAAAUUGACAAUUUUUGAUUGUCUAUAUGAGCCGCUUGCUUGUUUAACGGUGUAGAAUAAUCCAAAUUGGUUGAAUUUUUGAUAGAAAAUUCUUUAUACUAUUUAGAUAAUAUUUGAUAAUUCUGAUCAUGAUUUAAGAAAGUCUAACCUCUAUUUUAAGAAGGUUAUUCAUUUAUGACCGUUCAUUUUUUCGACUCUUCGAUAGACUUGAUAAUGAUUUUCAAAAAUUACAAAAUUCGGUUUUUAAAUAUUUCUUAUAGUGUAGAUCAAUUUCAACGGUGCCGAUUAUCAAUUUGGAGUGUCGAUCAUUCAAAACCAUUUGAUAGGACAAUGGUCCCAAUCCUAUUAAUAGCAUAGUAGCCGGACUCUAUAUAUAUAUAUAUAGUAUGAGGCUACUAUGCUUCUGGAAGCACGGAGCCUUUCGUGCUUUCAGAUCGUUUUCGAUGUUGCGACUUUCAAAUCAUCGAUCGGCUCCGUUAAAUUUGAUCUAGAGUAUUUGAAGUACCUAGAAAUUAAAUUUUAUGAUUUUUCGAUAUCAUUUGCCUAGUGAUCGAAUGGGCUCAAAAUCAAUAAUUUUAAUGGCCGUAGUGAACCGUUUGCAAGUUUAACGGUGUAGAAAUAUCCAAAUCACGUGAAAUUUUGAUAGAAAAUUUUUUAUACUAUAUAAAACAAGAUCAAUAUCUUUAGUCUAAAAUUUUAAUGUCAUAUUAUCACGUUUUGUAAGAUUUUUAUUUUUAACUGUUGAUUUUGAGUUCCUUCGUUCACUAGGCAAAUAAUAUCGAAAAAUCGCAUAAUUUAUUUUCUGGGUACUUCAAAUACUCUAAAUCAAGUCUAACGGAGCCAAUCGACGAUUCGAAAGUCGCAACAUGAAAAAUGACCUGGAAGCACGGAAGGCUCCGUGCUUCCAGAAGCAUAGUACCCUCACUCUAUAUAUCUAUAUAGAGUGCGUUUGGUAUGCUUCUGGAAGCACGGAGCGUUCCGUGCUUCCAAUUUGUUUUUGAUGUUCGGACUUUCGAAUUGACGAUCGGCUCCGUUAGACUUGAUCUAGAGUAUUUAAAGUAUCUAGAAAAUAAAUUUUGUGAUUUUUCGAUAUCAUUUGCCCAGUUAUCGAAGUCGCUCAAAAUCAACGGCUGAAAAUAAAAAUCUUACAAAAUAUGAUGAUAUGGCAUUAAAAUUUUAGAUCAAAGUUAUUGAUCUUGUUUUAUAUGGUAUAAAGAAUUUUCUAUCAAAAUUUCAUGUGAUUUGGAUAUUUCUACACAAUUAAACUUGCAAACGACUCACCACGUUGAUUUUGAGCCCCUUUGAUCACUAUGCAAAUGAUAUCGAAAAAUCGCAAAAUUUAUUUUCUAGAUACUUCAAAUACUCUAGAUCAACUCUAACGGAGCCGAUCGUCGAUUCGAAAGUCCGAACAUAGAAAACAACUUGGAAGUACAGAGGGCUCCAUGCUUCAAGAAGCAUACCAGCCCAUUAUGUAUAUAUAUAUAUAUUUAUAUAUAUAUAUAGAGAUCGGCUGGGAUACUAUCGAUAGCACUAAGGAUUUGGUGCUAUCGAGUUUUUCACCGUUAGAUUUAACCCUUUAAUUAUUUUUACAUGUUGGAUUAUACUAUUCAACCAACCACUCACUCAACCCUACAUCAUCGUAACCACGCAUUUCUCAAUCCAAUGGUUAAAAAAUGAAUAGCACCAAUAGCUUGUUGCUAUUGAUAGUAUUCCAGCCUAGUUAUAUAUAUAUAUAUAGAGAGAGAGAGAGAAAGAGAGAGAGAGAGAGAGAGAGUCCGGCUACUAUGCUAUUAAUAGCACGAAGCACUUGGUGCUACCAAGUUUUCCGCCGUUAGAUCUAUCAUUUUGAUCAUUUUCACCCGUUAGAUCAUACUAUUCAACCAACCACCCACUCAACCCUAGAGAGCCCACAUCAUCCUAACCGCACAUCUCUUAAUCCAAUGGCCAAAGACUUGGUAGCACCAAUGACUUGGUGCUAUUAAUAGCGUAGUAGCCUAGUUCUCUCUCUCUCUCUCUCUC
RNAcentral lists this long non-coding RNA (2182 nucleotides) under Ananas comosus (pineapple). RNAcentral's name for it is "long non-coding RNA (ACOM_LNC006757)". The record is from RNAcentral. Lineage: Eukaryota; Viridiplantae; Streptophyta; Magnoliopsida; Poales; Bromeliaceae.